GACCUGGAAGCGGAGCGGUCCGCGCCUAAAGAUAAUGAGUGGGACGGCCUCAGCAUUCUAUUGGGAGGCCCUUGUUCGACUCAAGGCCAGGUCA
This is a non-coding RNA of Mycena rebaudengoi, 94 nucleotides long. Lineage: Eukaryota; Fungi; Basidiomycota; Agaricomycetes; Agaricales; Mycenaceae. The record is from the annotation of a GenBank genome assembly.